This 500-nucleotide ribosomal RNA is filed under the name uncultured bacterium. RNAcentral's name for it is "partial 16S ribosomal RNA". It matches the Rfam family "Bacterial small subunit ribosomal RNA", at positions 30 to 523 of the family's 1533-position model. The record is from RNAcentral.
AUUGAACGCUGGCGGCACGCCUUACACAUGCAAGUCGAACGGCAGCGCGGGAGCAAUCCUGGCGGCGAGUGGCGAACGGGUGAGUAAUAUAUCGGAACGUGCCCAGUAGUGGGGGAUAGCCCGGCGAAAGCCGGAUUAAUACCGCAUACGACCUACGGGUGAAAGGGGGGGAUCGCAAGACCUCUCGCUAUUGGAGCGGCCGAUAUCAGAUUAGGUAGUUGGUGGGGUAAAGGCCCACCAAGCCUGCGAUCUGUAGUUGGUCUGAGAGGACGACCAGCCACACUGGGACUGAGACACGGCCCAGACUCCUACGGGAGUCAGCAGUGGGGAAUUUUGGACAAUGGGGGCAACCCUGAUCCAGCAAUGCCGCGUGCAGGAAGAAGGCCUUCGGGUUGUAAACUGCUUUUGUCAGGGAAGAAAUCUUCUGGGUUAAUACCUCGGGAGGAUGACGGUACCUGAAGAAUAAGCACCGGCUAACUACGUGCCAGCAGCCGCCGUAA